ACUCCUACGGGAGGCAGCAGUGGGGAAUAUUGCACAAUGGGCGCAAGCCUGAUGCAGCCAUGCCGCGUGUAUGAAGAAGGCCUUCGGGUUGUAAAGUACUUUCAGCAGUGAGGAAGGGUGGUAUGUUAAUAGCAUACUUCAUUGACUGUAGCUGCAGAAGAAGCACCGGCUAACUCCGUGCCAGCAGCCGCGGUAAUACGGAGGGUGCGAGCGUUAAUCGGAAUUACUGGGCGUAAAGCGCAUGCAGGUGGUUUGUUAAGUCAGAUGUGAAAGCCCGGGGCUCAACCUCGGAAUUGCAUUGAACUUGGAC
RNAcentral lists this ribosomal RNA (310 nucleotides) under uncultured bacterium. RNAcentral's name for it is "bacterial SSU rRNA". It matches the Rfam family "Bacterial small subunit ribosomal RNA", at positions 335 to 637 of the family's 1533-position model. The record is from RNAcentral.